AUUGAACGCUGGCGGCAUGCUUUACACAUGCAAGUCGAACGGUAACAGAGAAAAGCUUGCUUUUCUGCUGACGAGUGGCGAACGGGUGAGUAAUACAUCGGAACGUACCCUGUAGUGGGGGAUAACUACUCGAAAGAGUAGCUAAUACCGCAUACAACCUGAGGGUAAAAGUGGGGGACCGCAAGGCCUCACGCUAUAGGAGCGGCCGAUGGAAGAUUAGGUAGUUGGUAGGGUAAAGGCCUACCAAGCCGACGAUCUUUAGCGGGUCUGAGAGGACGAUCCGCCACACUGGGACUGAGACACGGCCCAGACUCCUACGGGAGGCAGCAGUGGGGAAUUUUGGACAAUGGGCGAAAGCCUGAUCCAGCAAUGCCACGUGAGUGAAGAAGGCCUUCGGGUUGUAAAGCUCUUUUGUUUGGGAAGAAAUCCCUAAGGAUAAUACCCUUGGGGGAUGACGGUACCAAAAGAAUAAGCACCGGCUAACUACGUGCCAGCCGCCGCAGUAA
Molecule: ribosomal RNA, 506 nt
Filed under: uncultured bacterium
Lineage: Bacteria
Description: partial 16S ribosomal RNA
Rfam family: Bacterial small subunit ribosomal RNA
Source: RNAcentral